This 2174-nucleotide long non-coding RNA is filed under the name Nicotiana benthamiana. Its description in RNAcentral is "long non-coding RNA (NBEN_LNC004170)". Lineage: Eukaryota; Viridiplantae; Streptophyta; Magnoliopsida; Solanales; Solanaceae. The record is from RNAcentral.
UCUAAUACUAUACUAUAACAUGAUGAUUAUUUUACUAGCAUUCCUAUAUUCAAACUAAGUAGAGAAGAUGGGGGAUAUGAUACGAGAGUACAAAUAAAAAGUGAAUGUCUUCAUAUCAAAAAUAUAUUUUCCCUUUGAACUUCAUAUACAUGAAUGUUGAGUCGAUACCUGUAAUAUAGCAGAAAACCAAGCCUAUGAGCAAAUAUGGAGGUCAGCUAGCAAACAAACAGCCAAUAAAACAGGAUUUCCAAAUUUCAGCAGAGUGUUGGAGAGCUAAAUCUUCAUAAAAUAAUUCAAAACAAUCCUAAUGGUAUUUUCAGAUCUAGAAUUAGUAUUUCAGCUUUAGAAUUGUAGAGAAAAGUUCCAGAUCAGUAUUUUCAGCUCUAAUGUUACAUAUAAAGGUUUCAGGAUCCCUUUCAAUGCCCCCAAAUGGUUUUAUUUAUAGCAAAACAGUUAGGGCAUCAGAUUUUUACUAGUUUCUUUUUAGUCCUCAUUUCAAAUUGUAUUUUUAUCCUUCAAUUCUUAACUUGUGCCUCAAGUUUGAGGCUGGAAUUAUAUAUUAGUCCCUACUAGAAGGUUCUAAAAGACUCUCAUCGGAUUUUAAAAGACUCAAAUUCCUUUGUACAAUUACUAGCUUUCCUAAAUUACCCUACCCCUGAAUUUGACCCCAGUCAGUUUUUUUAACCCUGGUUCAGCUCUAAUUAACCUUGGCUAGUUCUUUGACUCCAAUUCAAACACAAUCGACCUUGGUCGACCAAACUUGGGUAAAAUUUAGAUUAGCAGACUUAUGAAAAAUAAAAAUUAACCAAAAAUCAAGAGACUUCUAUACAGGAUUAAGAGAACAAGGAAUCAAAUAUCCAGAAAGAAUGCAUAUAUCUAUCAAACUUAGCUUUAAAACAUGAUUCAAUCAGUGAUAUUAAGAAAUACUUAAGAACAAGAAGAAAAAACGAACAAUCAGCUUAUGAAUCAAAGCCUUAGGAACAUGAGUCAACUAAGCAUACCAGAAAUUAAAUAAAAUCAGCAGAAGGAAGUCAAUUGAGCCCUAAAAUCAUAUUACUGAAGACUAAACAAAAUUUCUUUCUAAAAUCAGGGGGCCAAUACUUAGCAAGAUAUCUGUAUUAUCAAAGAAAGGCUUUCAAAUAGGUGACAAACAGUCAUAUGAAUAUUGAACCUAUUUUCAUAUGAGCUUGUGGAUAAACCACAACCAAGAGAGAAUCUCAAAGAAGUUCAGACUAGUCAUAUGAUUAUUGAACCUAUUUUCAUAUGAGCUUGUGGAUAAACCAAAAAACAACCAAGAGAGAACACCAAAGAAGUUCAGACUAUUACACAUGCAACUACAGGACCUAAACAAUCAUUACAAACAAUUAAGUACUUAGUCAGCUGGAAAUGAAAAAUAUGCAGGAACACUUAGCUUUCAUUGUUUGUUCUGGAGAAUGUCAGGACCUAAACAAUCAUUACAAACAAUUAAGCACUUAGCGAGCUAGAAAUGGAAAAUGUGCAAGAAAACUUAGCUUUCAUUUUUGCUCUCAUUUAAACUAUCCAGUUGGACCUUGAUUCGCCCACAGGGAUUUUGAAACUCCUAGGAUGGUGUUCAAUCCUUUUCAGAGUUCAGGGGGGUUCAUGAAGUCCUAAGACCUUAAUGGGUCUCAGAUUUAGGAUUUUGAGCGCUUGGGAGUCGUUUGAGACUUGAAGGUGGCAUGGUUGGUGUUAAGGAGGGUCAAAGACUGUCUGGGAGAGCUUUGAGGCUUUUCUGGCAAGUUUUGGAUUUAGGGUUUAGCUUCGGAUGAAGAUUCAAGGAGUUCCAUUGGGAUUUGAGGGUUGUGAGGUGCAUGGUUGGAAUGAGGAAGUCAGGGUGUCUCAGUGGGAUGUAAUUUUGGACGACUUUGGAAUGAGGUCACCGGAGAUAGGGUUUCCAGUGAUCUUUGAACGGAUAUUCGAGUCGGAGGGGUGGUGUUCGAAAGGAACUGAUUAUGGGACAGGGUAGAGGAGGCCAUGGUGGUAAAAGGGUGUAAUUUUGGUGUCGUUUGGUUGCCGGCCGCCGCCGUAGGACGAUUCCCGUCGGCGGUAGUAAGGUGGUAGGCUAGUGGUCAAAGGUGGUGACAGGGUGGUCAAUGGGUGGUCGGUGGUGGUCAAGGGACGGCGUCACAGCCGGAGAUGAGGGUACGAGAAAGGUG